RNAcentral lists this ribosomal RNA (433 nucleotides) under uncultured bacterium. Its description in RNAcentral is "partial 16S ribosomal RNA". It matches the Rfam family "Bacterial small subunit ribosomal RNA", at positions 29 to 507 of the family's 1533-position model. The record is from RNAcentral.
AACGAACGCUGGCGGCAUGCCUAACACAUGCAAGUCGAACGAGACCUUCGGGUCUAGUGGCGCACGGGUGCGUAACGCGUGGGAACCUGCCCUUAGGUUCGGAAUAACUCCCCGAAAGGGGUGCUAAUACCGGAUAAUUUCUUCGGACCAAAGAUUUAUCGCCUUUGGAUGGGCCCGCGUUUGAUUAGCUAGUUGGUAGGGUAAAAGCCUACCAAGGCGACAAUCCAUAGCUGGUCUGAGAGGAUGAUCAGCCACACUGUGACUGGGACACGGCCCAGACUCCUACGGGAGGCAGCAGUGGGGAAUAGUGGAAAAUGGGCGAAAGCCUGAUCCAGCAAUGCCGCGUGAGUGAUGAAGGCCUUAGGGUUGUAAAGAUAUUUUACACGGGAUGAUAAUGACAGUACCGGGAGAAUAAGCACCGGCUAACUCCGUG